This 639-nucleotide ribosomal RNA is filed under the name uncultured Actinomycetes bacterium. RNAcentral's name for it is "bacterial SSU rRNA". It matches the Rfam family "Bacterial small subunit ribosomal RNA", at positions 232 to 885 of the family's 1533-position model. The record is from RNAcentral. Lineage: Bacteria; Bacillati; Actinomycetota; Actinomycetes.
CGCGGCCUAUCAGCUUGUUGGUGAGGUAACGGCUCACCAAGGCAUCGACGGGUAGCUGGUCUGAGAGGACGAUCAGCCACACUGGGACUGAGACACGGCCCAGACUCCUACGGGAGGCAGCAGUAGGGAAUCUUGCGCAAUGGGCGAAAGCCUGACGCAGCAACGCCGCGUGGGGGAUGAAUGCCUUCGGGUUGUAAACCCCUUUCAGCAGGGACGAAAAUGACGGUACCUGCAGAAGAAGCUCCGGCCAACUACGUGCCAGCAGCCGCGGUAAUACGUAGGGAGCGAGCGUUGUCCGGAAUUAUUGGGCGUAAAGAGCUCGUAGGCGGUUCAGUAAGUCGGGUGUGAAAACUCAAGGCUCAACCUUGAGACGCCACUCGAUACUGCUGUGACUUGAGUCCGGUAGAGGAGUGUGGAAUUCCUGGUGUAGCGGUGAAAUGCGCAGAUAUCAGGAGGAACACCAGCGGCGAAGGCGGCACUCUGGGCCGGUACUGACACUGAGGAGCGAAAGCAUGGGGAGCAAACAGGAUUAGAUACCCUGGUAGUCCAUGCCGUAAACGUUGGGCACUAGGUAUGGGAUCAUAUCAACGGAUUCCGUGCCGUAGCUAACGCAUUAAGUGCCCCGCCUGGGGAGUACGG